UACGUAGGUGGCAAGCGUUGUCCGGAAUUAUUGGGCGUAAAGCGCGCGCAGGCGGUCCUUUAAGUCUGAUGUGAAAGCCCACGGCUCAACCGUGGAGGGUCAUUGGAAACUGGGGGACUUGAGUGCAGAAGAGGAGAGUGGAAUUCCACGUGUAGCGGUGAAAUGCGUAGAGAUGUGGAGGAACACCAGUGGCGAAGGCGACUCUCUGGUCUGUAACUGACGCUGAGGCGCGAAAGCGUGGGGAGCAAACAGGG
Molecule: ribosomal RNA, 254 nt
Filed under: uncultured bacterium
Lineage: Bacteria
Description: partial 16S ribosomal RNA
Rfam family: Bacterial small subunit ribosomal RNA
Source: RNAcentral